GUUCAAAAAGGCCACACUUUCGCUUCCCGUCCACCGGACUCCCCGAUCCGGCUCGUGUUUAGCGUCGGAAAAUGCGCUAUCAACUCCGCCGAGUACGGACCUCUCUGGCGAACCCUGCGCAAGAACCUCGUCACCGAGCUUAUAACCCCUACGAGAGUGAAGCAAUGUAGUUGGAUCCGCAAAUGGGCAAUCGAAAACCAUAUGAAAAGGAUCAAAAGUGAGGCUUUUGAGAAUGGGUUCGUGGAGGUAAUGAGCAAUUGCAGGCUCACUAUAUGUAGCAUCUUGAUCUGUUUAUGUUUUGGUGCAAAGAUCUCCGAAGAACGGAUUAAGAAAAUCGAAAGCAUACUCAAAGAUGUAAUGCUGGUAACAUCGCCGCAGCUACCGGAUUUCUUGCCGAUCCUCACUCCGUUGUUUCGUCGGCAAAUGAAAGAGGCCAAAGCACUAAGAAAGAGGCAAUUGGAUUGCUUGGCUCCAUUAAUAAAGAACCGGAGAGCUUUUGUUGAGAAAGGUGAAAACCCUAACCAAGAAAUGGUGAGUCCAAUCGGUGCAGCCUAUAUAGACUCACUCUUCGGACUAGAGCCACCAACCCGAGGUCCGUUGGGGGAAGAAGAGUACGUUACCCUAUGUUCAGAGGUGAUCAGUGCCGGUACCGAUACGAGUACCACGACAGUUGAAUGGGCCAUGCUUAAUUUGGUAAUGAAUCAAGAUAUCCAAGAGAAACUUUACCAAGAAAUCCUGGAUUGUGUAGGCAAAGAUGGUGAUAUCAAAGAAGAAGAUAUAGAGAAAAUGCCUUACCUCGAAGCCGUCGUUAAAGAAACGCUCCGGCGACACCCUCCGGGCCAUUUCCUCCUAUCUCAUGC
Molecule: long non-coding RNA, 860 nt
Filed under: Gossypium barbadense (sea-island cotton)
Lineage: Eukaryota; Viridiplantae; Streptophyta; Magnoliopsida; Malvales; Malvaceae
Description: long non-coding RNA (GBAR_LNC005664)
Source: RNAcentral